This 408-nucleotide ribosomal RNA is filed under the name Triticum aestivum (bread wheat). RNAcentral's name for it is "partial small subunit ribosomal RNA". Lineage: Eukaryota; Viridiplantae; Streptophyta; Magnoliopsida; Poales; Poaceae. The record is from RNAcentral.
AUGGGAGGUGUGGAUUGGAUUGGGCUGGAUGGAACCAGCAGGGGCGGGGCCUACGUACGCCGAGUGCUCGUGGGGACGGGAUACGAUGAGUCCAGCCAGAAAGGUUGGAACGGACAAACAGAUCGCAUGAAUUUCAUGGUUUACUCGGUUGUGUGUGGAUCCACUUACCAAAUGCAUCGUGCAUCCGUUGAUGUCCUACAAUGUUGUACGGUGUGCCGGCUUCGGGGUGGUUUACAUAAGGAACACAGCCCCAUGUCAUGGUUUUCAAGGAUACUACUUAUGUCCACUAAGACAAGACAAAAUUUCUGCAACAUAUGUUUAACGAGAAUAUUUACCGGGGAAGGUUGGCGAAUGAGGGUAGGUGAGUGCAGCCUGGCCGGCAAGGCCAAUUACAGGUUGUGUAAUUGA